GUAAACGGCGGCCGUAACUAUAACGGUCCUAAGGUAGCGAAAUUCCUUGUCAGGUAAGUUCUGACCCGCACGAAAGGCGUAACGAUUUGGGCGCUGUCUCAGCUGUAGACUCGGUGAAGUCUUAGUACCUGUGAAGAUGCAGGUUACCCGCGACUAGACGGAAAGACCCCAUGGAGCUUCACUGCAGGUUGAUAUUGGGAUUUGAUGCAGCAUGUACAGGAUAGGUAGGAGGCAAAGAGAUGGAUACGCCAGUAUUCAAGGAGCCGCUGUUGGGAUACUACCCCUGUUGUAUUGGAUUUCUAACCGGACGACGUAGAGCCGUUGACGGGACAGUGUCAGUCGGGCAGUUUGACUGGGGCGGUCGCCUCCCAAAGAGUAACGGAGGCGCCCAAAGAUACCCUCAGCUUGGAUGGAAACCAAGCGCAGAGUGCAAAGGCAAAAGGGUGUUUGACUGCGAGACCCACAAGUCGAGCAGGGACGAAAGUCGGGCUUAGUGAUCCGGCGGUGCUGAAUGGAAAGGCCGUCGCUCAACGGAUAAAAGCUACCCUGGGGAUAACAGGCUGAUCUCCCCCAAGAGUUCACAUCGACGGGGAGGUUUGGCACCUCGAUGUCGGCUCAUCGCAUCCUGGAGCUGAAGUCGGUUCCAAGGGUUGGGCUGUUCGCCCAUUAAAGCGGUACGCGAGCUGGGUUCAGAACGUCGUGAGACAGUUCGGUCCCUAUCUGUCGUGGGCGCAGGAAAUUUGAGAAGAGCUGUCCUCAGUACGAGAGGACCGGGAUGGACGCAUCAAUGGUGGACCAGUUGUCACGCCAGUGGCAUAGCUGGGUAGCUAAAUGCGGAAGGGAUAAACGCUGAAGGCAUCUAAGUGUGAAACCCACUUCAAGAUGAGAUUUCCCAUUGCGCAAGCAAGUAAGACCCCUUAAAGACGAUAAGGUAGAUAGGUCAGGAGUGUAAGCAUGGUGACAUGUUAAGCGGACUGAUACUAAUAGGUCGAGGGCUUGACCGA
This 1004-nucleotide ribosomal RNA is filed under the name human gut metagenome. RNAcentral describes it as "bacterial LSU rRNA". It matches the Rfam family "Bacterial large subunit ribosomal RNA", at positions 1923 to 2925 of the family's 2925-position model. The record is from RNAcentral.